CACGCAGUAAACGAUGAUUACUAGUUGUUUGCGAUACAAUGUAAGCGACUGAGCGAAAGCGUUAAGUAAUCCACCUGGGGAGUACGUUCGCAAGAAUGAAACUCAAAGGAAUUGACGGGGGCCCGCACAAGCGGAGGAACAUGUGGUUUAAUUCGAUGAUACGCGAGGAACCUUACCCGGGCUUGAAAUGCGGCGGACCGGCAGAGAGAUCUGCCUUCCCUUCGGGGCCGCCGUGUAGGUGCUGCAUGGUUGUCGUCAGCUCGUGCCGUGAGGUGUCGGCUUAAGUGCCAUAACGAGCGCAACCCUCAUCAUUAGUUACUAACAGGUCAUGCUGAGGACUCUAGUGAGACUGCCAUCGUAAGAUGC
This 366-nucleotide ribosomal RNA is filed under the name uncultured bacterium. RNAcentral's name for it is "bacterial SSU rRNA". It matches the Rfam family "Bacterial small subunit ribosomal RNA", at positions 796 to 1166 of the family's 1533-position model. The record is from RNAcentral.